This 705-nucleotide ribosomal RNA is filed under the name uncultured Bacilli bacterium. Its description in RNAcentral is "bacterial SSU rRNA". It matches the Rfam family "Bacterial small subunit ribosomal RNA", at positions 51 to 738 of the family's 1533-position model. Lineage: Bacteria; Bacillati; Bacillota; Bacilli. The record is from RNAcentral.
AUACAUGCGAGUCGAGCGAACGGACGAGAAGCUUGCUUCUCUGAUGUUAGCGGCGGACGGGUGAGUAACACGUGGAUAACCUACCUAUAAGACUGGGAUAACUUCGGGAAACCGGAGCUAAUACCGGAUAAUAUUUUGAACCGCAUGGUUCAAAAGUAAAAGACGGUCUUGCUGUCACUUAUAGAUGGAUCCGCGCUGCAUUAGCUAGUUGGUAAGGUAACGGCUUACCAAGGCAACGAUGCAUAGCCGACCUGAGAGGGUGAUCGGCCACACUGGAACUGAGACACGGUCCAGACUCCUACGGGAGGCAGCAGUAGGGAAUCUUCCGCAAUGGGCGAAAGCCUGACGGAGCAACGCCGCGUGAGUGAUGAAGGUCUUCGGAUCGUAAAACUCUGUUAUUAGGGAAGAACAUAUGUGUAAGUAACUGUGCACAUCUUGACGGUACCUAAUCAGAAAGCCACGGCUAACUACGUGCCAGCAGCCGCGGUAAUACGCAGGUGGCAAGCGUUAUCCGGAAUUAUUGGGCGUAAAGCGCGCGUAGGCGGUUUUUUAAGUCUGAUGUGAAAGCCCACGGCUCAACCGUGGAGGGUCAUUGGAAACUGGAAAACUUGAGUGCAGAAGAGGAAAGUGGAAUUCCAUGUGUAGCGGUGAAAUGCGCAGAGAUAUGGAGGAACACCAGUGGCGAAGGCGACUUUCUGGUCUGUA